AUUGAACGCUGGCGGCAGGCCUAACACAUGCCAGUCGAACGGUAACAGGAAGAAGCUUGCUUCUUUGCUGACGAGUGGCGGACGGGUGAGUAAUGUCUGGGAAACUGCCUGAUGGAGGGGGAUAACUACUGGAAACGGUAGCUAAUACCGCAUAACGUCGCAAGACCAAAGAGGGGGACCUUCGGGCCUCUUGCCAUCGGCUGUGCCCAGAUGGGAUUAGCUAGUAGGUGGGGUAACGGCUCACCUAGGCGACGAUCCCUAGCUGGUCUGAGAGGAUGACCAGCCACACUGGAACUGAGACACGGUCCAGACUCCUACGGGAGGCAGCAGUGGGGAAUAUUGCACAAUGGGCGCAAGCCUGAUGCAGCCAUGCCGCGUGUAUGAAGAAGGCCUUCGGGUUGUAAAGUACUUUCAGCGGGGAGGAAGGGAGUAAAGUUAAUACCUUUGCUCAUUGACGUUACCCGCAGAGGAAGCACCGGCUAACUCCGUG
This 490-nucleotide ribosomal RNA is filed under the name uncultured bacterium. RNAcentral describes it as "partial 16S ribosomal RNA". It matches the Rfam family "Bacterial small subunit ribosomal RNA", at positions 30 to 507 of the family's 1533-position model. The record is from RNAcentral.